CGUGCUUAACACAUGCAAGUCGAACGAAUAACCCACCUCCGGGUGGUUAUAGAGUGGCGAACGGGUGAGUAACACGUGACCAACCUACCUCUCACUCCGGGAUAACCCAGAGAAAUCUGCGCUAAUACCGGAUACUCCGGGCACCUCGCAUGGGGAGCCCGGGAAAGCCCCGACGGUGGGAGAUGGGGUCGCGGCCUAUUAGAUAGUUGGUGGGGUAACGGCCUACCAAGUCGACGAUAGGUAGCCGGGUUGAGAGACCGAUCGGCCACAUUGGGACUGAGAUACGCCCAGACUCC
RNAcentral lists this ribosomal RNA (296 nucleotides) under uncultured bacterium. RNAcentral's name for it is "partial 16S ribosomal RNA". It matches the Rfam family "Bacterial small subunit ribosomal RNA", at positions 43 to 339 of the family's 1533-position model. The record is from RNAcentral.